RNAcentral lists this ribosomal RNA (374 nucleotides) under uncultured organism. Its description in RNAcentral is "bacterial SSU rRNA". It matches the Rfam family "Bacterial small subunit ribosomal RNA", at positions 526 to 896 of the family's 1533-position model. The record is from RNAcentral.
CGGGGGGAGCAAGCGUUGUUCGGAUUUACUGGGCGUAAAGGGCGCGUAGGCGGCCACCGCAAGUCGACUGUGAAAUCUCCGGGCUUAACGCGGAAAGGUCAGCCGAUACUGCGGGGCUAGAGUGCAGAAGGGGCAACUGGAAUUCUCGGUGUAGCGGUGAAAUGCGUAGAUAUCGAGAGGAACACCUGCGGCGAAGGCGGGUUGCUGGGCUGACACUGACGCUGAUGCGCGAAAGCUAGGGGAGCGAACGGGAUUAGAUACCCCGGUAGUCCUAGCCUUAAACGAUGAAUGCUUGGUGUCUGGGGUUUUAUAGUCCCCGGGUGCCGUCGCUAACGCUUUAAGCAUUCCGCCUGGGGAGUACGGUCGCAAGACUG